Long non-coding RNA from Acinonyx jubatus (cheetah), 786 nucleotides. RefSeq lists it as uncharacterized. NCBI's taxonomy places the organism in Eukaryota, Metazoa, Chordata, Mammalia, Carnivora, Felidae. The record is from RefSeq and is a predicted model, not a curated record. The transcript has 4 exons.
UGUCUUCAGGCCUUUCAAAUCUCUUUCUUCUUCUUUUUCUCUUUCUUGUUUUAAUAUCAAGGUUUUCAGAUACUUCAUCAAUCAAGACAUAUAAAAUGGAUUAAAUAUGCUGCCUGGAACUGAAGUCAAUACUCCACAUAGGUCCUGAUCAUGAAAACUGUAAUAUGGCAAAUAUACUCCAUACCCAAAUAAAGAGGGCUGAUCAUGACAAAGCACAACACCAUAAUGGCAGCUACAAUGAAAUAUAUUGGUUUCUAUAAACAAGAUGAAGUACCUGACGUGAUAUCCUCUGCUGCUGAAUAUGUUGAAUUGUUUUCCACGUUGUCUCUCUCUUAAAUUCGGAGGUUGUUGCCAGCUCUGACACACAGGGUUGGGGCUUGUCGACUGAGGAUUCCUUUCAGCAAGCAGAUGAAGGCAUGACUAUUAGCUUCAAUGUUUCUGAGGUUGGCCAAAACUGUGCAGCCAUGUGUCUAAUGCAAAAUUUUCGAAGAAAAAUAUCAGCCUUAAUAAUAGUUAAAGAAUAGAAAUUAAAUACUUUCCUUGGAAGAUUAAAAUCAUCACAGCAGAGAUGCAGAUUCCUCCGUCUUUUGAGGGCCUGGUGUUUGCAAAAAUACUUUUCCGAUGAUUUUUUUUUUCUCACGGACAUUAAUAUCACAAAUUCAAAUGUAAAACAGAAAGAAAAACAUGAAGCAAAAGUUCCCAAGCUAUCCUACGAGUGCAAUCAAUUCACUCAUGAAAUUGUACUAAUUCUGGGGAAGACUGGGCUGUGUGCUCGCAGGUGUGAGA